Molecule: long non-coding RNA, 3104 nt
Organism: Lolium perenne
Lineage: Eukaryota; Viridiplantae; Streptophyta; Magnoliopsida; Poales; Poaceae
Source: RefSeq, a predicted model, not a curated record
UUUGCGGCCGCUGUACCGUGGUGAGCUGAGUGAUAAGAGGCUUUGAAGAAUUUGAAUGGAGCACAACCCCACUGUCUGUGUCCUGGCAUCGUCGCGGCAUCUCUGUUGUCUACAUUCCUGGAGGUUCGUGGGCUGCCGCCGCUGCCUCCUCCUCGACCCUCAUUAGGAAGAGCAUGAGGUGCCGCCAAACUGCGACAGACGGCGAGCAUGAGCCACCAGCACACCACACCAUAGGGUAUAUUGUUUUCACAAUUUUAUUUAGCUUUACCACAAGUAAAAACUGGAUAUACAAAAGCAUUGUAAUGUAAAAUUUUAGUCUAGAGAAGCAGUUUUUCUUACAUGUACUGUCAGCUCCUAUUUUUAUGUCCAGUUAAUUAAUCAUCAACAUUAAACACUAAUUAUAUUUUUCAUGGGAUCCUUCCAGUUGACCAAUGUAUGCAUGCUUAAAAUGUUGUUAGCUUUGGGUACAUGGAAAUGGAAGCUUGAGAUAUGAGCUUAAUAUAACCAUUCGCAUCAAGAAUUUUCUCCCUAAAGCUAGCAAUUUCAACGUGGUUGUCAGUAACCACUUCUGUUUGAUUAUGAAUAUGGUUCACUACGUUCAGAAAUAACUCCUGGAUUGUAGGUGUGAAUAUUACAUAUCUGUUUAUAUAUCUGUUUUCCUUAAUUUUCAUUUAAUGACGUAUACUGAAUGGAGUUUGCAGUCCAAAGAAACAUUGAGCAGUUGCCGUUGCAACUGCUACUCUGAUUUGUUUACCAUUCUUGUGAGGAUUCACCAUAUUAAUAGGGAAAGGGUUGCUUUCAUUGUUUUCUUUUACGGUAAUGCUAUCUUAGUUCAUCUAAAAAAAAGCUUUCUUAGUUUCUAAAUUUUCAUAAUUUGUUGUGAAUAAUAAACAGAGUGCUUUAUCAGAGUGUGCUAAUAUCCCGUUCAUGACCUCUCCCAAGUUCCAAUUGUUUUUAAUUCAGUCAUUGCCCCGCUAACACUGUUAUUUUUUGUGGUGUAUUUUGCUUCAGUUAUUUUUACUUAUCCUACUACCAUAUUAUGUGGUGGGUUUUGCUUCGGUCAUUGCCCCGCUAACAUGUAAAACUGACUUUUGCUUUAUAGAGAAUAUCAGGUUUCAAUGAUUCAGAGAACAUGUGUUGACUGGUUACCUUCAUUUUACUCUGGAACAAUAUUCAGUGGAAAAAAACGCAUGUGUUUUUUCUAUUUAAAUGAGUGCUAUUGUGUAAAUGCUUAUGCUAAAUAAGAUGACCAGUUUGGAUGAUAUUUUUUUACCAAUUUGGAUGAUAUCUUCUAGAUGCUCUUACUCUGAUGAAGCGAGUGCUACUCUAAAUGUCUAGGUACUCUUAUUGCUUCUGAAGCAUUAGUGGAUAGAAUUGGUGCAAGUUUUUAUAAAGAUUCUUCUGCUUUAGGUUAUAUUUUAACUACCUUGAACAGAUAGGUUUUAAGAUGUGUAAAUGCCAUGCACUGGUUUAAGGAUCAGGUCCAACUUGCAAGUGGUUAUGUGCCAUCCUUGUGUCUUUUAAAAAUUCCACUUCGCAUCACGUUUGGUUAAGCUCAAGCCUAUUUCACCUGGAAGGUGCACUCUACUACUACUACAGUUAGUUAGGAUCUUUCUAUCGAUGUUUGUGCUAUGGAGUUGACAAAAAAACUUUUCUUUUUCUGGCAAAACUGUAUGCAGUGAGUUAAGAUAAAAACACAACCGCAUGCUACCCUGCAGAAGUUAGUUAACCAAAAUCUCAUGAAUGAAAAAUCUGUCUUUGUUUUUGUCUGGAGAAGUUGCAUGCCAUAUUAAUUUUCAGAGGAGUGGGUACCGAUUCCCAACGUAUUUCAUAAACGAUGGAGGGUUUUAGAUUUAUUCUUCAGUGGAAUUUUCAGAAGUAUUUUACUGUGUAAGGCCUAGCAUGUUAUUAAUUUUCAGAAGUAUUUUUUGGUCGAACAGAGAGAAUGACUGCUUUUUCUUAUCCACAUUUUUGCCUCGCGCAAUAUAUUUUCAUGCUCCUUGUUUGUUUGCUUAGUUGCCUGACGUGAAAUUUGUGAAGAUUGUUCUCAGGGACUUUUUAACAUUAUUGCCUCUUUCCUAAGUUGAUCAAGUGGAUCAAUGACAAAUGUUCAUGCCAAAUAGGGACCCGAGUUCCCCAUCAAUCUAUAAGGCUGUGGGUCAAGGGUCAUCAUGGAUUUAUGUCUGUUUAAAAAAAAUAAGGAAUAGGCUACAAUUGCAAGUCUGCUGUCAUCUUUGAAAAGAAUUCUUUCUUGACAAUAAAGCAUUCUUUUGUGUAUGCCAGACCACUUAAAGAGAAUAUGUUAAGGAAAAAAAAACUAGAAUCAAUCACUAUGAUCUCAUACGAGGUAGUUUGAAAUUUGAGGCAAGCAAUGGCCCGGUUUGCAAUCCCUGUGAUGCCGAAACACUUUAUAGUGUUUUAGGUAGUCAUUGUUACUGAAUUGGAAACACUUCCUUAUUUAAUUUUAGUAUUUGAUUAUGCUUCUAACGUAUGGGCAAGAGGUGGGUGUUGCCUGGUGGAACCUUGCUCUGGUCGCCUUGUGUUUUGGCAUCAAAGCACCAUUAUUAUGCCUAGGCUUACAUGGGGAUCCAAGGCCCCAACCUGCUGCUAAGCUCUUCUUUCCAAUAACAGGUUAUGAGUGACUCUUAAUAGGAACUGCCACCACUGCACCUUGCUGAAAAACAAUCCCAAUGGAGGAGAUUCAAGCGACCAAGGUGAAGCUACGGAGGAAGAAGGGCACGAAGAUCAUAUUUCUGGAGAAAGGCAGUGAGCAGCUAGAUAUAACCCUGCCAGACCUGGUAUUCAACAUCGGAGAGAAGCCACACCCAUUGUUCACCCAAGAUCACUGUACUUGAUAUCUUCAGCGAUGAAUAUAUGAUCAUUUACUGAUUUGUCGAACUACUAUUACACUCAUGGGAUCAUUGCAGAUUAUAGUUAUUCCAUUAGAGCAGAGCACAUUGCACGGCCAAGUGGCUACUGUUAGUUCAUUUCUCUUUGUUCAUUAUUCAGCUAUGUAAUUAGUGUAAUGUGAUACUGAUCAAAGUGAUAGGUUACUUUCCAAAUUAUUAAUUCAGCUUUGUGCAAAUGUCCUUAGAAUACAUUCA